This is a long non-coding RNA of Peromyscus californicus insignis, 13945 nucleotides long. RefSeq lists it as uncharacterized. The transcript is spliced from 8 exons. The record is from RefSeq and is a predicted model, not a curated record. NCBI's taxonomy places the organism in Eukaryota, Metazoa, Chordata, Mammalia, Rodentia, Cricetidae.
CCUUCCUUCCUUCCUUCCUUCCUUCCUUCCUUCCUUCUUUUUGCUGGAGAGGUGUCAACAGCUGGGAACGGUGAAGCUGCAGAGAAUUAAGUGUGGUGCCCACAUGCAGUACCCAUGGAGGCCAGAAGAGGGCCCUUGGAACUGGAGUUACAGAUGAAUGGGAGCUGCCAUGUGGAUGCUGGGAAUCAAACUCAGGUUUCCUGUAGCCCGGACUGGCCUCAACAUGCUGUGUAGCUGAAGGGCAACAGGAAUAGGAUUUAAAACAAUGAAAAUGAAAUUUACUUCAUCAUUUGCUUAACAACAUCCUCACCCAUAUUAUAAUGAGGGAUGUGUGCUGCUCUGGAAUACCACAGACUCAGCAAUGGCGACUAGCAGAAACGUACUACUGGUUCGCAGUUCUGGAGGCUUUGAGGCCAAAGCGCAGUGUGAGCAGGGUGCUCGCAAGGAAUUGGACCUGCCUGGACUCUCUAUGCUGCUUUGGCUUGUCGGAUGACUUUCUCAGCUGUAAGAUAUCACCUUGCUCUCCAGGAGUUUGCUGUGCACUAACACUGGGAAAAAGACAUUGAAAUAAGGCUAUUGCUGCCACAGCAACAAGGAUGUGUGGAUCUCAAAGGCCAAAAAGCAUUUGAAAAGACAAAACUCUGAGUGCAGAAGAUGGCUGGAAGCAGCUGCUCUCAGUCAGGCAGUUUCUCGAGUCCUCUUCACCAAGGUGGAGCCAUCCUUUCAAAGAUUUGGUGAAAUAAAUCCCAAAGUGACUUGCCCAAUAACCGAAGGAGGAAAAAAGAAGAGAUCUUAGUUGUCUGGAAAGUUUUCCUAUUUCCUACUUUGGAUGAUACACAGGUUUAAAGAGUCUUGUGGUUCCUCCUCUUGAAAGAUGUUUUCUUUAAGACUCCACCUUUGACUUAUUAAGAAGAACAUUCCAUGACUUCACGAUGUCUGUCUAUGGAAUGUCAAGUAUUCAGUGUGUCAUUCUCAGGUCCUCUUGAUGUAGCUGUCAAUGAACCCAUCUGGUUGCCUUUUUCAAUGAACCCAUCUGGUUGCCUUUUUCAAUGAACCCAUCUGGUUGCUUUUUUUUUUUGUACAUGCUUGCUAUUUGUCACUUAUGGUUAAUCUUGAUGUCAUGUUGAUGGGAUCUGGAACCAGUCAAGAGACACAACUCUAGGUAUGUUUGUGAGGGUAUGUCUAGGAAGGAUUAACUGAGAGAAGGCCCUUCCUCAGAGUGGACAGCACCCCAGCAGGUGACUCAGAUACUAAGAGGUCCUAGGAGAAAAUGUGCCUGCUUGCUCACCUUUGCUUCUUGCUAGUGGGCAUGCUUGUCUUUGCUCCUGCUGCUUGCCUCUGCUGCUAUCAGACUUGAACUUCUCUAGCCCUCUAAUGUAGACUGAAGAACGGUGUCUUAGUCACUGUUCAAUUGGUGUGAAGAGACACCAUGACCAAGGCAGCUCUUAUCAAACAAAACACUUAAUUGGAGGCUUCCUUACAGUUUCAGAGGUUUUAUCCAUUAUCAUCAUGGUGGGGAGCAUGGCAGUGUGCAGGUAGACACUGGAACAGUAGCUGAGAGCUGCAUUCUGAUCCAUAGGCAGAGAGGGAGGGAGGGAGAGAGGGAGAGAGAAAGAGUGUGAGAGAGAGACAGAGACAGAGAUAGACUCUGGCUUGGCAUGGACUUUGGGAAACUCAAAACCCAUCCCCAGUAACAAACUUCCUCCAACAAGGCCACACCUUCUAAUCCUUUUAAUCUUUUCAAAUAGUGCCACUCCCUGGUGACUAAGCAUUCAAAUAUAUGAGCCUAUGGGGCCAUUUUUAUUCAAACCACCACAAACAGUGAGUGACUCUCCAGAAGUCUCCAGGCCUUCAGCACUGGAUUGGGAUUGCUGAGACAUACUGCUUUAUGAACCGCUAGGUCUCAGCCUCUCCAGCAUGCAUAUGGCCAUUGGCAGACCAUCUAGCCUCUAUUGUGUAAGCUAAUCUGGUGCAUCUUCUUUUGUAAUACACACAUGUUCUGUUGGUUCUGUUCCCCUAGAGACUCAUGCCCAAUACAUCCCCAAUUAUAGCACAACAUUUGAUAACAAUGAUAUAUUUAUUAUCUCUUGCUACAUAACAGGUUGCCUCCACAUUAGAUUCUGUUUCCUCUUUCUGUGGCUCAGGAAUCUAGGUGUGGCUUAGCAGGUCUUCUGCUUCAGGGUCUUGUUUGCCCUGUUGUUGGUUGCCAUCAAGGUGUCUACUGGGGUACAAUUGACUCAUGGAUCAGCCAGAGCAGGAUCUAUUUCUAAGCUUGCUGGUAGGAUUGUGUUCCUCUUGGGCCACUGAGUUGGAAAGGUGUCUUCAAUUCUUUGCAAAGUGGUCCUUUUGACUAAAAAAGCAUACAAAGAGAGCAAGUGUAAAAAUGUGAAAUUGAGAGUGAGAGUAAGAGCAAGGGAGUGCCAGGUGUGAUGACACACAGUUAUAAUUCCAGCACUGGGGGACCAGGUGUGGUGGCGCACACCUUUAAUCCCAGCACUUGGGAGGCAGAGGCGCCAGGCAGAUCUCUGAAUUUGAGGCCAGCCUGGUCUACAGGGUGAGUUCCAGGACAGCCAGGGUUAUAUAGUGAGACUUUGUCUCAGAAAGAGAGAAAGAGAGAGAAAGUGGGGCUGGGAGGGCCAUAUCUAUGCUGGAGACUAGUCUUAUAACCUAAUCAUGGAGGUGACAUCAUUGCCUCUACUGUUUUGGUUGGUUAGAAGUCACCAGGACCAGUGCACAGGACCAGAGGGAGAGAGCUACAAGAGGCCAUGAACAUUAGGAGACAAGGAUCAUCUAGAGCUAUACCACAGACUACCACAACACCAUGUAAGACAUGCUGUGCACUGGGAAGGUGCUAACCACAGGCACUCUGCUAGGGCCUUUUCAUGGAGCAUGCCAGGCAAUCCUUACAGAAUUCUACUGAAUAGAUACCCUUUCCAUCUCUAUUUUAGAGAUGAUCAACCAGAUGUACAGAAAGGUUCAAUAACUGGCAAGGGUCAGAGGUCGUCAGAGGUAGGUCUGCGUUCUGGUUGGGGUCAGAUAUGAAGCCUUUUAUUCUCCAUAGACGAUGAGGUUAACACAGGCUUGUCAGGACCCGAACCUGGGAGCUAUCGAGUAGCUGUUGAAUAAAUCAAGGAAGAGAGGAAAGCAGGAAGGGGGGAAGGAAGGGAGGGAAGAAUAGAGGAAGGAGGGAAAGUAGGGAGGGAGGAAAAUAGGCCUGGAUCCCAUUCCAGUUACUUUUGUUCAAACUGGUCCUGGGCCUUGGCCCAUACUAAAUAAUAGAGGAAUUACCGUAUGAUCAAAUAAGGCUCAAUUAUAUCUACUAGUCAAGAGGGCCCCAAGUUUCAGGCAUAGGACUCAAGAGUAGGAGGGAAUGUGGUGCUAUUAAUUGUUCUCAUGUGGAUUUCAUUACUGAGAACUUCAGAGGAUGUCCUGCAAGUUUGAAUGCCAUGACUAGAGAGAUCACUAUCUAGUCACAAGGAAUGUCAUAGGAGUGUUCAGUACUAACUGUUGAUAGGGUUUUUUUUUUAUCAGCUUUCUGCUUUUUUAAAAAAUGACAAAUUAGAUUAUUUAAGUGCUUCUAAGGUUUCUAUGCUAAAACACCAAAUUUGGAAUAGCUUAUGAUCGACAGAGAUUGAUGUCUUACCACUCUGAAGCUGGGAAACCCAGGGUAGAGCUCGAUCUUAUGGGGCUGGUGAGAGAUCUCUGCAGGUAAAAGCACUUGUUGUGCAAGCCUGACAACCCAAGUUUGAUCCCUGGAGCCGCAGUGGGAGGGGCCUGGCUGCCAAAGGUUGUAGAUGGAUGAUUCUGUGUUUGGUGGAGCUCUGCUUUCCAGCUCAUAGGUGUGUACCUGUAAGAUGAGAAGGCCCUUUGUACAGAGCGCUAAUCUCUCUCAUGAGGACUCUGCCCAAUGACUUGAUUACCUUUUGAAGACCUUACUUCUAAUUUUAAUUUGGGAGUAAAUAUCUCAAUAUAUGAAUUUACAACAGGCCACAUAGGCAUUUGGAUCAUGGUAGGGAAUAAAGCUAGGAGAUAAAUGACUCAUUGAACCGGAGAUAAAUUGAUGUGCCUGUGGCUAAAUUCAUUAAGGAGAAAUGGAUAGUGGGACUAGGGACCCAGUGAGGCUUUUUUUUGCAUCCUACUAACCUUAACUCCAUAAUCCCUUCUUGCUUCUCUUUACACUCAGGGCUCACUCCAUUGGUUGGGCUCCCGUGGAGUGGGUCAGAUGGAUUCAGAGGUCAUGGCUCCUGGAAAACUGUCCUUACUGAAGCUACUGCAGUGCACAGCACUGGCUAUUUAUAAAGUGCUUUCUGAUGGGCUGCUCCCUCGGGUCUUCUCGGGAGUCAUUGAAAUGAUGUGAGAAAGAAGAGAUUGUUCUCCACCCCGACCACUCCUUUUACUCCUUAAAAUCACUUGGUUGUCAAAUCACUGUGAGAUGCACUGGUGUAAAUGGAACAAAAUCACAGUGUAUAAUGACAUUAGACUAAUAGCUAGGCAGCAUGCUGGCUGGGGAUUUAGGGCCUUUUUGUGAUAUGAGUGUGUUAUCAACUGUUGCCUCUCUUUUCUCUCUUCUUCUUCUUCUUCUUCUUCUUCUUCUUCUUCUUCUUCUUCUUCUUCUUCUUCUUCUUCUUCUUCUUCUUUUGUGUGUAUGGUGCACGUAUGUCUUCAUGUGAGUAUGUAUCCAUUUAUAUGGGUGCACAUGGAUAUGGAGGCCAGAAGUCUGUGUUGGGUGUCUUCCUUGAUUGUUCUCUACCUUAUUUUUUGAGGCAGGCUUUCUAAUUGAACCCAAAGCUUACUAAUUUGGCUAGGCUGGCUGGCCAGUGAGCUCCCAAGAGACUCCUGUCUCUAUCUCCCUGGUGCUGGGAUCACAGAUGUGCGCUGCCGCACUCAGCUUUCUUAUACGGGUGUUGGGGGUCUGAACUCAGGUCUUUAUGUUUGCACAACAGGCACCUUACUGUCUGAGCCAUCUCCCAUUCUCAACUGUUGCCUCUUUGAGUCUCAUUUGUGUGUGUGUGUGUGUGUGUGUGUGUGUGUGUGUGUGUGUGUGUGUAUGUGUGUAGAGCUUCCUUAUGCCUCUGAUGGAUUCUUCUUUUUCUGUUAACAUUCCUGGUCUGGUUAAUACUAAGGAUGCCAAUAAAGGAGGCUUUUUGCAGCUGACACAAGAAGCAUUUUGUCUUUGAAGUUCUGUUUGCACCAUGGACCUCUGCCAUUGUUUAUUGGUUUUGAUCUAGCCUUUUAGGUGUCUGUAGGAUGUCACCUGCUCAUGGGCACCCUCAUCUCUGGUUUAUAAAUAAGGAAACCAGGUGUAGAGAAGUUGCCACAGGGGACUUUUCAGGGUGUUGUAUCCAGCAAGUGAGUCACUCUUUGAUAUUUGGACUCCAAAUUCUGAGUUCUUUGUAACCCCCCACCCCCACUUUCCCUGGUUUGGGUCUCCAGGGUCAUACCGAGGAGUACCCAUUGUAUCACCCCUUUUAUUGCACUGUCCCAUCUGAGAUAUGCUGUGUUGGUGGAUGAGACUGAGUGAUGUUGCAAGGGGAGGUUGACCAGAUGUCUAAAUAGAGAAGAGGGAAACCUGGAGAAUUAGGAACACACUGCAAGACAAGAGGUACUGUGGUCCUCUCCCUACCUGUGAAGAGAUGAUUACACAAUGAUUUCAUAAUGUGGGAACUUGAAACACAGGUAUGAAUAUGAAGGUCAUGACCGGGUCCUACAUGACUGGACCUGUCACACUUUGUCCAUCUCUUCACUGAAGUUUCUCUUUUGGUAAGAGAGGGAUGUGUCUUUUGGUGACAGAGGCUGUUGUCACAGGGAAACAGAGGAGCCAAAUGAGUCCCAGAAUUCAUUUCUCUCUCUCUGCUUCUUGAAUACAGAGGCAUUGUGGCCAGCUACCUCCCACUCCAGCUGCUGUGCCUUCUGUACUGUAUGGCCUUGCUCCAUGUCAGGCAUUCAGUCAGAGCCAUGAGAAUAGUAUUGAGCACAAAUGUUUAUUUUGUCUGCUUUGUCCUAGCAAGGUUUCUCUCUUUCAUUACCAGGAGAGCAAGUGGGGGAGUAGGUGUCUUAGGCUAGACUGCAUGUGAUGUUUGCUUUGUCUGACCUGUGCAUCCCUGCUGUGAACAGGCUUAACUCCCAGAAAAGGAGAAGUGGACUUUUGAUGGAUAAGACCAAGAUUUAUAAGAGGCAUCUGGCAGACUUCCAAUGGGCCUAUCCCAUGGUCAGGCUUUUGGGCUGGGUGGAUGACCUGAAAGAUACAUGCAUAGAGCCAGACAUUGAAGUACCACACCUGGGCCAAAGCAGCCUCCCCAGGUCUGAGGAAAAAUCUUGGACAUCUGGCCUAGCAGUGUGUUAUGAUGUGGUGUGGAAAUUGUCAUCCUUAAGCACAGGUGCUAGGAAAACAAGCUUGAUUCCUGUGGGCCUGAGGAUGCUCUCAGGACCAAGCAGCCUCUUCUGUAUUCUUAGAGAUGCUUCCCUGCGACUUUCCCAGGGAGCCAUGGUCCUCAGCACCCGGUGGCUACUGUGCCUGCUUUUUAUCUUGGUCCUGUGACAGUGGAGUCUCAAGGGCCUAGUGUAGUCAUCUUGUGAGCUUUUCCAGAACAAGGAAGCAGUUCUAGUCUUAACAUCUGAGUGAUUGUGAGAGCUGCUGGGCUUCUGACUUGACUUUGGAUAGCCAGGGUCAACAGGUGACUGGUUUGAGAAAGGAUGACCAGAAAGUUGAUUGGGACAGUUUGGUCCAAGACAUAACUUACUGUGUUUACCUGGUAAUUUGAAGGAUGCUUAAUCAGACCAGUCAAAAUCUUUGUAAUGUGAUUUUAAACAAUAUCUCUUCACAGAUCAUAUUGCAAGGAAAUAUUCAUGGAGAAAUGAGUCAUUAUUUAUUAUUAAAUUUAAAGGACUUGGGGGGUUAUAAAUAAACUCUUCAUCAUCCACUCAAAAGUAACAGAGCUCGUGACUUUGCUGCUCCAAAGAAUCAUGUCCCAGCUUGCCUUUUUCUGCCAUCCAAUUUAUAUCUAGCUUUAUCUCACCCACAACCAGCUGGUGGGUGUUUAAGAAGUGAAAAAUAAUUUUAAUAUUUGCCAAGGUGAAAUAGAAUUAAUUUGGCAAAUCUGCUACUUAAAAGAGCAUGGGAAAAAUACUCAGGCAAUAUAGAAGUUAUUUCUGAAUUGUCUUUUAUUUUCAAUUAUUGCUAUUACAUACCCCUUUUGUUAUCAUAGGUGAUUAUGUAUUUGCUUUAAAACCAAGCUAAAACAAAGCAGAGUAAAUAAAAUUACAACCAAGGGACAAAGUAGGAAGAACAUAUUAACUACAUAGCAUUUUAUUUCUAUUAUCUGUGUCUCCAUCUAUCCAUCCAUCCGUCCAUCCAUCCAUCCAUCCAACCAUCCACCCACACAUCUUACAUUCCUCUAUCCCUCCCAUCCACUCUUCUAUUCACCCAUUUACCUAUCCACCGUUUACCCAACCAUCCACCCAUCCCACCCAUUAUGCCCACCCAUCCAUCCUUCCAUCCAUCCAUCCAUCCAUCCAUCCAUCCAUCCAUCCAUCUUCCUACCCAUUUACCCUGUCCAUCCCACAGAGCCUAUCUCCAUUUAUUUAUAGCAUCCAUUCUACUAUACUGUUCAUCCCAUCCCAUCCAUCCAUCCAUCCAUCCGUCCAUCCAUCCACCCAUCUUCCUACUCACCCACCCAUCCAUCCUGUCCAUCCCAUAGAGCUCAUCUCCAUUUAUUUAUAGCAUUCAUUCUAACUAUACUGUCCAUCCCAUCCAUCCAUCCAUCCAUCCAUCCAUCCAUCCAUCCAUCCAUCCUUCCAUACAUUCUUCCUUAUACCCAUCCAUAUACCCAUCCAAACCAUGGCCAAGGUUUUAGGUAGUAUUGAAGUUUUGGAUAAGUUUGUUAUGGAUGACUGCUCUAUUCAUAUUUAACAGCACACCUUUUCUUUACCUACCCACCUCAAUUAUUACAAUAAACGAUGAUGCUAGGCUUUUUCAAAUAUUCCUCUGGGCCAAAAUUUUCUCUAGUUCUAAUUGAACCCAUACAUUCCGCCGUGCCCUCUGGAGAUGUCAGCAGGGAACUUAGCUAUAUUUUCUGAGUUUUCCUGUCUCCCAUCUCUCAUUGAAAUGUGAUUAUCCCUUGGUUUUCUCAAAUGAGGGCUGUUCUUCCUCCCUUUCCUACCUGGGAACCAGGUGACACAGGUAUCCUUUGUGCCCUCUGCUGCAGACAUUUUCCAUACUGCCCAUAAUACCUGCUCUGUUGAAAUAUGUGAUGCCCGGAAAGCCCAGCCCACUGUGGGUGGUUCCACUCCCUGGCGUUGGGUUCUGGACUGUGUAAGAGGGGAGAGAGGAAGCUGAGUGGUCAGCAGGCAUGCAUUCAUUUCUCCCUGUUCUUGACUGUGGGUGUGACGGGAUCAGCGGCUUCCAGUUCCUUUUACUUUAACUUUCUUGAAAUAAUGCCCAGUAACCUGGGUUUGUGAGCUAAAUUUUCCACCCCUUCCUCAAGUUAUUAUUAUUUUGUGUGUGUUAUUUUAUCACAGCAACACAAAUGAAACUAGAAUGGGGGUUGACCAUGCAGAUGGCUAGGAAGACAGAACCAGACAUCCGAAAGCUUUGCUUGAAUGUGGCAGUGGAUGAGGGAUUUGGGAAGCAGAAGUUUGAAGUCUUCCCUAGAUGUGUUUUCCAAGGUGGGAAGUCAAGUCAUAGACUCUGAAUGUUCUCUAGUUUCACUAAACCUGGUUUGACCUCUGAAACUCCAUCUCUGUUUACCCACUCAAGCAGUACAUUGUUUUCUAUGUGUUACUACAAAUUCAACACAGCAUUUCCCCGCGGUUGUAUGGCUUUAUUCUCAGUGUUCGGCCACAGCGCUUAGCCAUGGUGCCAGGACCUUCUGGAGCCUUCUGCCUCACUCCAAACUGAAGCAGAUAUUCUAAGUUUCACCCUGGGAACCCCCUUAACCCCUUGGAGAUUUCACCUCUGGAUUAAAAAGAAAAUUAAAUUAGAUUUUAAUUUGUUCUUACAUUUUCAUAUAAAUGUAAGUUGCGCAUUGGUGAGUACACUUCCACCAUGUCCCCCUGUUCUUGCUUUUUCACUUUUCCAUGUUCAGUGUUAGUCCCUGUUGUGUGAUAUUUUGUUUGUGCUCUGACAAAUAAAGCUUGCUUGGAGUCAGAGCGUGGAGCUAGCCCCUAGUUAACCAUAGAGGUCUGGAGGUCUGUACAGAUGGGAGACAGGAAGUGAUAAAGUGGAGCGGAGACAGGAUCUCAUCCUUUUUUGGUCAGAGGAUUCAGAGAGGUAUGAAAUGAUUGUGGCUGCAGGCAUGCAUGUGUACAUGUGGGCGUUCAAACCAGUGUGUGUAUAUGUGGAGGGCAGGGCACUGAGGAUCCUCCCUAUCACUUUCUCCUUUAUUCCCUUUAGACACGGUCUCUCACUGAACAUGAAGUUCACAGUCUUUUCAGCUUGACUGAUUGGCCAGUAAGCUCAAGGGAUCUUCCUCCACUCCAACGUGGUUUGUAGGUAUGUCUGUAAGGCCUUACUCAGCUGACUGAACUCCUAUGGGAUGUUAAAGUGUCCUGGCUGGAGAAUUAGCUUGACUGACAUUGUUCCGUGGUCCAAGAUGGGUUAAGGACAGAUUUGGGGAGGUAGGAUAGAGUUUCAGUGUUCAGUGCAAAUCUUUUAGUUGAUGCUCACGUUUUUGGUUCAUUAAUUAUCCCGGUUAUCUAGGGGGCAGUCUAUGGAUAGGUGACCCUCAGUCCAUAGAUUCCCAGUUUAAUCAUUUUCAGAGCAUUAGUUCUCAAACUAUGAUCCAAGGUCAUAUAAAGGUCACUUAGCCACUUUCAGGGGUUAGAAAGAUCAAAACUACUUAAAUAGUAAUGCCUAGGUUUAGUUUUCAUUUUCCUGUCUCGAUGAUGCUGUUCUUGCCUUGGUUUUCUUUGACUUGAGAAGGGUAGUUAUUUUUCACAAAAAUAAGUUAUUUGCAUAAAUACAGAGCAGAUUUUCAUUAUUAAUUUGGAGUAAAUUAAUAGUUAAAGGUGAUUCUGUUCUACUUUCUCACAUAAGAAACAUCAAUACAUAGAAUAUAUUACAACCCAUAUAAACUAAAGCUUUUUGGGUCAUAGUUUUGAAGGCUUUGAAAAUGGCCUGUGACUACAAAUCUGAGAAUUGUUCUAGACACUGGAGCCAAGAGAACAGCCCUCCAGCAUUUUAUGGACUGGACUGUGCUCCUUGGCCAGGAGACAUGAGGAUGGGGCCACCUUGUUUCUAAACAGGAGAAUUCUUUUCUUUCUCUUUCAUUCCUUCUCCUUCAGAGGUUCCUGAUCUUGGCAGUGAUGGAGCUGAGACAGAGCCUGUGUCUCUUCAGCAUUGUUAGUCAGCCUUGAAGGCCCAUCCACUUCUAGAGAUGUCUACUGUUACUUAAGGUUAUAAAUCUUGGAUCUUGGAGCCAUUGCUAACUUAGCAGACACGUGAUGGAAGCCAAGAGGAGAAUGUGGAGAGAGGAGAAUGUGUAGAGAGGGGAGAAUGUGUAGAGAGGGGAGAAUGUGUAGAGAGAGGAGAAUGUGUAUAGAGAGGAGAAUGUGCAUCGAGGCUGGGGAAGCCUUUUCAGUGGGUGCUGGAGAUUAAAGUUCAUUUUAAACUCUGGCUGCCUGUAGGUGGCUUCCACAACAGGGUGUUCUCAGGGGGAGUAGUAGUGGCAUAGACCAGAUUAAAAUAGUUUCUGGCCCAUCCACUCCAUCCUUCUUUUGUCUUUUUCUGGUUCCCUUGAUCUCCCUCCAUUAGCAGACCACAACUUCUUGUCCCAUGUUGCUCUUCCUACUGUAAGUCCCUCCUCAGUUGUUUUUAAUUUUUAUGACAGAACCCGGACCACUCUGCACGACCUGUAAGAUGCUGCAUGGCCUCACUCCUGCUGUCUCCAUCAGACCAUUGGCUUGCAUCUCCUGUUUUUGUUUCCUCAGCCUAGGGGACUGUCUCAGUUUCCUGGACAGCCUGAACAGAUUGCUUAUGGCCAAUGCCCCUGACCCCUACCUCAUCCCUUGGCUAGCUACUUCUAUAUUAGAGUUUCAACCUACAUGGGUUUUCUUCAGUAGAUGUUCCCAUCUGCUCAAUCUAAAACCAGUUUUCCAUAUGAUAUAGUCCUACUCAGCUUUUGGUUUUAUUUGAUUUUUAAAAUCACGUUACCUUUCUUUGCUUCGUAGCAUAUACAGUUAGUUGUUAUAUACAACUCUGUCUAGAUAGGUUCUGUCUGGGUACACAGCAGCCAGGGUGUCACAUGUUUAUUCAGUUGCUAUCAGGUCAAAGUGGUUUCCACCAUGGCACUGGCUGCCUUUUGGCUGGAGACUGGCCUCUGAGAAGAUGUUUAGUAAGUUUCAGUAACUUAGGGAAAACACCAGGGACCACGCUGACUCUUGGAACUCCAGAAUAAUUAUUUUUGAACUGUUCCAACAGAACCCACGAGAGACUUAUUUAAUAAUGUUAUAUCCCUUCAAAAUUUACUGGGCAAGUUACUGAACUAAACGUCUUGUGACUUCACAUUCUGGGUUUUAAUAACGGAGAAUCGAUAACCUGUUCCCAUUCAUUGAAGUCUGCAGUUAAAAUGUAUCUGAAGGGUCCCCAAUGGGGAGCAAAAGCAGGGACCCAAUCCUUUGUAUUGUCAAUCUUUUAAACUUUAUCCAUUUUGGAGGCUGUGAAGUGGUAAGCUUACUGUGAUUUUAAUUUAUACCUCUCUAAUGUGUAAUGAACUUGGGAUUUCCAGCUCAAGGGCAGAUGUGUCUGGAAACUGGACAUGUUACAGGUUGGAGGCUGAGUCAGCUUGUGGUCUGACCUGGAUGGUUAUGUUCUCUUCUGGCAUUUUAACAAUACAAUGUGCAUGCUUUGUCUCAAGGUUUUGAAAGAUACACAGUCUAGAUUAGAGGUUCUCAACCUUCCUAAUGCUGCCACCCUUUCAUACAGUUCCUCAUGCUGUGGUGACCACCAACCAUAAAAUUAUUUUGUUGUUACUUCAUAACUAUGAUUUCGCUUCUGUUUUGAAUCAUAAUGUAAAUAUCUGAUACAGAACACCCAAAGGGGUUGUAACCUACAUGUUGAGAGCCUCUGGUUUAGGGGUACCUUUGAGUUAAGGUAUCAUGGAAAGCAAAACCACAAGCAAGCAGGCAGGGGACUCCUAUUCUCUAUUUAUAGUAGAAUCUUAUAAUCUUCUAGGGAAGAAGACGAUGAUAUCCCUAGAGGCGCCAAGAAAGUGCAUGACAUGCUGUGAGCUCUUGCUAUGUCAGCUGUGUGCUUUGUGCCAGCACAUCUUCACCAUGCCCUCUAGAGGCAGGGGGUGGUACUACACCCAUACUCUGUAGGAAGUUCAAGGAGACCCAAUGUUUGCCUAGGAAUCACAGGGGCUGGAUUUAAAACCCUGGUGACUGAUGGCAUAGUAUGUACACCUAAUGCACACGUUAUUCUGGAAGAACUCUCCCUCAGGUAGAAAGCUGUGUAGCUGUGUGAAGGUCCUAGUUCCGUCAUUUCCUGCCUAUGUGACCUUGGGCAACUUAACUUAGCUUUUUGGAGUUCUUGUAUGAUGGAGAUAGCAACACUUGUCCUCCAGAGGUAGCAUCAAACCUGACCGAAAUUUCCUUGUAUAUCAAAUGUCUGAUAGAACUUGGCAAAGACCUAGAAAUGGCCAAUAGACACAUGAUCAAGUUCACCUGACAGUACCAUACAUUAAAGCCAUGAUAAGAUACCAUGUCACCCCCAGCAGAAUGGGUAAAAUGGAAAGAUUUGACAGACUGCAAUGUCAAGAGUUUGAGUGGAAAAAGUUCUCCUGUGUGUCUGGACAAGAGUAUGCAGAGGAGUGAAGCCUGAGGAGAAAUCAUGCAGCAGAAUCUACUAAUGAUGGGAAUGAGCGUAUGCCAUGGCAGGUGAUUUCCCUUCUGAGCAUGUACUCAAGGGAAUGGCAGUUUGUGUUUAUUCACAGCCCCUUUCAUAGUAUCAAAAUACUAGAAGCAUCCAUCAAAGGAGGUGGAAUAAACACGCUGUGGUGGAGUACUGAAGGGGAUGCCCUUCACCAGCCAGCUCAUGGUAGAUGUGCAGAUGAAUCUUAGAGGUAUCCUAUUGGAUGAGAGAAGCAGACAGAGUGCACCCUUUCUAGGCAUACUUUUUCUUGAGUUCCAAUUACACUUCACUUAUAUGAACUCAAGAAAGGCCCAAACCAGUCUUUGGUGAGAGAGCUCUGAGCGGUGGCGACUCCCGUGAAGAACGCAGGGGAAGUUGUUGAGGAGAGGAGGAGUUUCUUGCCUUGAAUCAAGUCAUGGCUCAUGGCUAUAGAUAGGUAAAAUUCAUUAAGCUGCACAUGAGAGGUAAGUGGGCAUUAGUGUAAGUCAUAUGACAUGUAUAAAAUGAUAAGGUACAGUGCAUUAUGACAUACGAAAUGCUAAGGUACAGUGUAUUAUGACAUGUUUGAAAUGAUAAGGUACAGUGUAUUAUGACAUGUAUGAAAUGCUAAGGUACAGUGUAUUAUGACAUGUAUGAAAUGCUAAGGUACAGUGUAUUAUGACAUGUAUGAAAUGCUAAGGUACAGUGUAUUAUGACAUGUAUGAAAUGUUAAGGUACAGUGUAUUAUGUAUGAAAUGCUAAGGUACAGUGUAUUAUGACAUGUAUGAAAUGCUAAGGUACAGUGUAUUAUGACAUGCAUGAAAUGAUAAAGUACAGUGUAUUAUGACAUGUAUAAAAUGAUAAGGUACAGUGUAUUAUGACAUGUAUGAAAUGCUAAGGCACAGUGUAUUAUGACAUGUAUGAAAUGCUAAGGUACAGUAUAUUAUGACAUGUAUGAAAUGUUAAGGUACAGUGUAUUAUGACAUGUAUAAAAUGUUAAGGUACAGUGUAUUAUGACAUGUAUGAAAUGCUAAGGUACAGUGUAUUAUGACAUGUAUGAAAUGCUAAGGUUCAGUGUAUUGGGCGUGUAGUAAAUGCUCAAUAAACAUGAGAACCUUG